AGCAGCCGCGGUAAUUCCAGCUCCAAUAGCGUAUAUUAAAGUUGUUGCAGUUAAAAAGCUCGUAGUUGAAUUUCGGGGUUCUUCCGUUGGUCAGGCUAACAAGUCUGUACUAGCGUGUAGAAUCUCUACCUUCUGGGGAACCAUCAUGUUAUUAAUUUAGCGUGGUGGGAAACCAGGACCUUUACCUUGAAAAAAUUAGAGUGUUCAAAGCAGGCUUACGUCUGAAUACAUUAGCAUGGAAUAAUAAAAUAGGACGGUGGUCCUGUUUUGUUGGUUUCUGAAUCACCGUAAUGAUUAAUAGGGAUAGUUGGGGGCAUUAGUAUUCAAUUGUCAGAGGUGAAAUUCUUGGAUUUAUUGAAGACUAACUUCUGCGAAAGCAUUUGCCAAGGAUGUUUUCAUUAAUCAAGAACGAAAGUUAGGGGAUCGAAGACGAUCAGAUACCGUCGUAGUCUUAACCAUAAACUAUGCCGACUAGGGAUCGGACGAUGUUAAAUUUUAUUGA
RNAcentral lists this ribosomal RNA (502 nucleotides) under uncultured Scutellospora. RNAcentral's name for it is "SSU rRNA". It matches the Rfam family "Eukaryotic small subunit ribosomal RNA", at positions 569 to 1074 of the family's 1831-position model. Lineage: Eukaryota; Fungi; Glomeromycota; Glomeromycetes; Diversisporales; Gigasporaceae. The record is from RNAcentral.